This 97-nucleotide signal recognition particle RNA is filed under the name Mycoplasmoides pneumoniae M129. RNAcentral's name for it is "Mycoplasma pneumoniae M129 signal recognition particle RNA". It matches the Rfam family "Bacterial small signal recognition particle RNA". From Rfam's summary of the family: The signal recognition particle (SRP) is a universally conserved ribonucleoprotein involved in the co-translational targeting of proteins to membranes. Archaeal SRP consists of a 7S RNA and homologues of the eukaryotic SRP19 and SRP54 proteins. RNAcentral also lists the same sequence under 1 other name. The record is from RNAcentral. Lineage: Bacteria; Bacillati; Mycoplasmatota; Mycoplasmoidales; Mycoplasmoidaceae.
AUUUAGAGCCGUCACAUCAUUACGGUCGAAUCAUGUCAGGCCAGAAAUGGAGCAGCAUUAAGACUAUUUAAUGAGUGUGAUGGUUUUUUAUUGCAUA